AAACAGAAACAUCUGGACUGAGAAAUGUCAGUGAUGAAUUCAGACAGAUGAUAACAGCAGGAGGAGACAGAGCACAUAUAAACAUGCAGAGUCUUUCUGGACACUGCAGAGUGAAUGUGCUCUAGAAUCCAGUGAUAAUCCAGUUGGAUGCUGGCACAGUGUCUUUGCAGUGGAGAGAAAUGAAAUCAGCUGAAUGUCCUGCACGCUGAGCAACAAGCUGAACACGUCCUCUUCAGAAGUGCUGGUCUACAGUCUGGAUCAUUAUCUCAUACAGAUGUUACUGUACAGAGACUGAAGUCAGCCUGUAAUAACAACAUGGAGUGAGCUACAGACUUCCAGCCAAUCAUCUUCAUGUGACUGUACAUGUAGGCUUCUUUCUUCUUCUGUGGUGGUCACAGAGCUCAUAGCUGGAUCUGAACACAGGAUACGACUGAAACUGGACUUUAUCUGUCAUAAACCAGAACAAAGAGCUGGAACAGAAAACGGAUACAAUCUGAACUGCAACAUGAUGGACAAAUGGAGACUUUGAUCAAAAGCAGAGAGGCUGGAUAGUGUGCAGUGUGCAGGUACAGCUCCAAAUCAGCGUGUGAGAGGAGGAGAGGUAGUCCACAUGCUGAAUAUUGAAACUUCCAAAUAAUAUUAAUUUAGCAAUAUUUUGAACAGGUGAAAUAUCUUUGUUUGAAACAUUCCCUCAUUAAACUCCUGGCAGCCGGUGAUAUUCAGCAUGUGGACUUUUUCUGUGAGUUAAAAUUGUAUCUCACUGCUGAGUCAGCUGAUAAAAACACAACUGAUGUUGAAUAAAAUUACAGUCGGCUCACAGACAGUAAUGACAUUUAGUAUUAAUAAUGAAUGCUAUUGGCUGAGCUGCAUGUGUCCAGAAGUUACUGAGAGUCAGUGUGUUCAUGUUAGUGUAAAUCUGUGUUUGUCACUACAUUUUGUUUUUAUAAUGUACAAUAAAGUUUUUGUAAAGCUGUGUGA
Micropterus salmoides (largemouth bass) is the source of this 978-nucleotide long non-coding RNA. RefSeq lists it as uncharacterized. NCBI's taxonomy places the organism in Eukaryota, Metazoa, Chordata, Actinopteri, Centrarchiformes, Centrarchidae. The transcript is spliced from 2 exons. The record is from RefSeq and is a predicted model, not a curated record.